UAAAUAGAAUUCAUAUCGUCUAACAUCUUGUGUAUGGAUGAUAUCGGAGCAAAAAUGUAGUGUUUUUUUUUGGACGAGUAAAAGGAGCCCUAGGGUUUCGUAACGACCUGAAUUGAAGAAGCUAAAGACAGAGGUCAGUUAAACUGGGAACUCCAGACUAAAUGGUAUCGUUUUUGUAUUUCUAAUUCUACAUAAGCUGCAAGUACAACUUCAAUGUUAUAAGUUGUCCUCUUUUGAGAAUAACUGACUAUGGUUUUAAACGGUCCAGAUCUAAAAGUUGAUCCCUUAUUUAACAUACUUUGUUCACUCUCUUUAGCGACGGACCAUGCGACGAUUCGAUUCGUCGAUAUAUGUAGUCCGUCGCUUAAAGUUAAG
Molecule: long non-coding RNA, 375 nt
Filed under: Panax ginseng (ginseng)
Lineage: Eukaryota; Viridiplantae; Streptophyta; Magnoliopsida; Apiales; Araliaceae
Description: long non-coding RNA (PGIN_LNC009074)
Source: RNAcentral